AUGAACGCUAGCGACAGGCUUAACACAUGCAAGUCGAGGGGCAGCAUAAAGGUAGCAAUACUUUGGUGGCGACCGGCGCACGGGUGAGUAACGCGUAUGCAACCUACCUUCAACAAGGGGAUAGCCCGGCGAAAGUCGGAUUAAUACCCUAUAAAACAGGGGUCCCGCAUGGGAAUAUUUGUUAAAGAUUUAUCGGUUGAAGAUGGGCAUGCGUAACAUUAGGUAGUUGGUGAGGUAACGGCUCACCAAGCCCACGAUGUUUAGGGGUUCUGAGAGGAAGGUCCCCCACACUGGUACUGAGACACGGACCAGACUCCUACGGGAGGCAGCAGUGAGGAAUAUUGGUCAAUGGGCGAGAGCCUGAACCAGCCAAGUCGCGUGAAGGAAGACGGCCCUACGGGUUGUAAACUUCUUUUAUAGGGGAAUAAAAAGAGCUACGUGUAGUUUAUUGCAUGUACCCUAUGAAUAAGCAUCGGCUAACUCCGUGCCAGCAGCCGCGGUAAUACGGAGGAUGCGAGCGUUAUCCGGAUUUAUUGGGUUUAAAGGGUGCGUAGGUGGACUCUUAAGUCAGUGGUGAAAGUUUGUCGCUCAACGAUAAAAUUGCCAUUGAAACUGGGGGGUCUUGAGUAUGGAUGAAGUAGGCGGAAAUGCGUGGUGUAGCCGUGAAAUGCUUAGAGAUCACGCAGAACUCCGAUGCGAGGCAGCUUACUAAGGCAUAACUGACCACUGAAGCACGAAGCGUGGUAUCCAAACAGGACUAGAUACCAUGCUAGUUCCACGCAGUAAACCGAUGCAUUAACCUAGAAGUUGCGAUAUA
Molecule: ribosomal RNA, 817 nt
Filed under: uncultured bacterium
Lineage: Bacteria
Description: bacterial SSU rRNA
Rfam family: Bacterial small subunit ribosomal RNA
Source: RNAcentral